AAGAACUGAAACUAAUGCAUAGCAACAUAUAAUUAGCAGGAGACUUUUCCUGAACUAGGUUGCAUAAGCAAGAAAGUGCAGAAUAUAGCUACAGAUCCACUAGGACUAAGUUGACAUAAUUGUCCUAAUACAGGAAAAAUAAGUUUUCAAAACCAUGGGCAAAACAACUUAACUGCCACAGAAACUUCCAAUCCAAACCAUCUUCCAACAACAGGGCGGCAACCUGAAAUGACAAAGCUAGGAUAAAACCCCCAGAAGAAGAAGAAAGAUUGUAAAGCUAAUCACCUACAUUGCGGUGCAAAUGCUUGACUGAAGGCUUAGUUACAACCAUCAAACACAGCCUUUCACUUCCUAUCUACUAUCCCAAGCUCAAGUCUUUCUACCACGGCUCUCGAACACUGCCUUUCUAGUCCUCCCUUUCUCUUCAACUGAAGGACGAUCACUAAAAGUCUUCUGUUUCAUUCGGUUUUGCUCCUUGAUAGACCUGACCAUAUCCAUAGCCAUAUCCUGGUGCUCUCUUGUCUGUGAAUGCAUAUCUAGGCCCUCAACGGUUUCACAAUCAACCUUGCAAAUGCGGCACCAUCCCAUACUCGUGGGCUUCCUCUUUCUUGGUCUAUCAAAGGAGUCCACAUCACCUGCAUAAAGUCCGUGAUUCGGAUACCCCGGAACAGGAUACCUGCUCCUGAAGCCAGGCUCCCCAAACUGUGGCAUACCAGGUUUGUUGCGUCCAACUGAUUCAUCAAAACCAGGAAUAUCUCCAAACCCAGACAACUCCCCCAUAUAAGCACGGCCAGCGAAGGAACCAAAGCCACCAGGUUUAUCAAAACGUAAAUGACUUGGUAAUUUCGGAGGAUCCAAAGACUCAUCAUGAUGCAAAUGACUCGGCAUGUCUUUUCCAAACAGAUCACCACUCUGGACAUGUUUGUAAGGACGACCAAAGGUAGUAUGCUCACCACCUCUCAAAUCCCCAAGACCAUCAGUCUCUACUCCAUGUGGAUGGCCAGGCAAAGCUUGGAACCUACUAUUAGAGUAUAAGCCGCCAGCUAGAUUGGAAGGUAAAUUGAAAUGUCCUGGCCCUUCAAUAAAUUGACGGGGCUCUCUGCCACCAGUAUCAUCAAAACCUGAGUGACUUACAAAUCCACGUUGUGGAAUGUUAAAUAACUCCCCAUCAGGGUUUCUGGCAGACAAAUAAUCCAAAUGAUGCACACUGAAUCCAGAUCCUCCUCUUUUUCUAUCAUCGUCAUGAGGACCAAGUGGUGCUUCUCUUUCUCCACUAUCCUUGAAAUGCAUCGAACCAGGAGGAUGAUGUGGAGGCAAUAAUCUGUUCGGUGGAACCCCGGUACUGGCCUCAAAUUUUGAUCCAGAAUCAUAUCCUAAUCCGUGAGGAGGUUUGUCAUGUGGCCGUGAUCCUUGAUCAGAAGGCACCGGUAAAGGAAUUAAAUGCUCCCCCAUAGGCGCCUUCAACCUUUUAUCCCUAGCAGAUUCCAUACUUCUAGGUUGGCCAAAUGGAACCUUCUCAAAAGACCCUGAGGAAAAUGGGUUUGAUUGAUUUCCUUCAAAACAAUUCACCCUUUGGUUUUGAAACAUUUCAGCCUCUGCUGGAUUAACAGAGUGUUGUGUUCCACUAGGAAUUUCAGCACCACUUAACAGUGCUCUUCCUACUCCCGUAAUCCCCUCUGGGAACUCACCUGGUGGAGGAAAAUGACCAUGCCCCCUAGCAAAGGUUGUAAUAGACCCUGGACCAGGGAUACCACCAAGGGGGGCACUACUAGGCUGCUUCAAGAAUUGUGGACGAUGAUCAAGAGAAUUCAAUGGCUGACCAGCCUGAGGUACAUUCCCUGAAGGCAUCAUUGCAGUGGGGGGAUAUCCAGGGAGUUGGCCAUGAGAAGUACUGCCUGCAGGUCGCACUGGUGAUAUUAUCAUAGGACCAACGGGCCUUUGCUGAGUAGACGGUCCAUAUUUCGGUUGUGG
Molecule: unclassified non-coding RNA, 1971 nt
Filed under: Hevea brasiliensis (rubber tree)
Lineage: Eukaryota; Viridiplantae; Streptophyta; Magnoliopsida; Malpighiales; Euphorbiaceae
Source: RNAcentral